UGAAAGCUUACAAAAAGGGGUCACCAGG
This 28-nucleotide non-coding RNA is filed under the name Rattus norvegicus (Norway rat). The record is from RNAcentral. Lineage: Eukaryota; Metazoa; Chordata; Mammalia; Rodentia; Muridae.